This 58-nucleotide transfer RNA is filed under the name Ictidomys tridecemlineatus (thirteen-lined ground squirrel). Its description in RNAcentral is "Spermophilus tridecemlineatus (thirteen-lined ground squirrel) tRNA". It matches the Rfam family "tRNA", at positions 8 to 63 of the family's 71-position model. From Rfam's summary of the family: Transfer RNA (tRNA) molecules are approximately 80 nucleotides in length. Their secondary structure includes four short double-helical elements and three loops (D, anti-codon, and T loops). Lineage: Eukaryota; Metazoa; Chordata; Mammalia; Rodentia; Sciuridae. The record is from Rfam by way of RNAcentral.
UAGCUUAGUUGGUAGAGCACUUGCCUCACAUGCACGAGGUCCUGGGUUCAAUCCCCUG